UACGGAGGAUCCAAGCGUUAUCCGGAUUUAUUGGGUUUAAAGGGUGCGUAGGCGGCUUUUUAAGUCAGGGGUGAAAGACGGUGGCUCAACCAUCGCAGUGCCUUUGAUACUGAAGAGCUUGAUUAAACUUGAGGUAGGCGGAAUGUGACAAGUAGCGGUGAAAUGCAUAGAUAUGUCACAGAACACCGAUUGCGAGGGCAGCUUACUAAGGUUUGGAUGACGCUGAGGCACGAAAGCGUGGGGAUCAAACAGG
This 253-nucleotide ribosomal RNA is filed under the name uncultured bacterium. Its description in RNAcentral is "partial 16S ribosomal RNA". It matches the Rfam family "Bacterial small subunit ribosomal RNA", at positions 524 to 776 of the family's 1533-position model. The record is from RNAcentral.